Poecilia reticulata (guppy) is the source of this 877-nucleotide long non-coding RNA. RefSeq lists it as uncharacterized. NCBI's taxonomy places the organism in Eukaryota, Metazoa, Chordata, Actinopteri, Cyprinodontiformes, Poeciliidae. The record is from RefSeq and is a predicted model, not a curated record.
AGGGGGGUGUCCCAUUAAUUAGGACGCAUGGUUGGAAGGAGGAGGAGCCCGGCGGAAUUAUAAUGCUCGGUGCUCUUAUCAUCUUUGGUCUAAUUUAGUCGUGUGGUGAGACACCAGAAUAGGUAUGUGGGGUAAAUGAGGGGAAGCAGAAAGAGAGAGAGAGAGAGACAGAGAGAGAGAGAGAGAGAGAUGGAGAGAGAGUUUGAGAGAUAGGGAAAUAGAGUGAGAGAGAGAGAGAAAGAGGGAGAGGAUCACAAUCUCUUAGUCAAUUUGUGAGUUUUUACGCGUGAAACUCCAGUCCAGCAGCACUUCAUAGGCUUUCAUUUAAGCGUAUUUGGACAAGUCGACUCGGCUUCCGUUAGAGGCCGCAGCUUAUAGACUCAGAUUUUUUUUUUUUUUCCACGACCCACACAGCGCGGAUGAUCCUUUGUUUUUUGUAAAGGUAAUGCAGAGCUGGACCAUAUAUCAGCUCUGAUGAUGCCUCCUCUGGGGCGGGAGAGAGGCGGCGGCAUGCAUCCCUCUCAGCGACGCCGAACCCGGGCCAUAACUCAGCCAGAAAGGGCUCCUUUUAUUUAUCAUCCCAGAAAUAUUUCAUUUCCUCUCAGAGCACCGGGCGUCCUGCAGCUGUGACGGGGAAAAUGCAGCCGGUGUUUAUUUGAUGCUUCUGGGGGAGAAAAUCUACAUCAGUGAUGACAGCUCUGGAGGAUCUGGUUUAUUAGAAACAAGCAUCACAUUUCCCUCACAUGUACCACUAAUUUCUCUCUCUCUCUCUGUCUCUCUCUCUCUCUCUCUCUCUCUUUUUUUUUUUAAAGUGAAGUCAAAUAAAAUAAAAAUGUCUAAAAUAAAUGAUGAUUGAUACUGUUAUUUUAUAUGUUAA